Molecule: ribosomal RNA, 135 nt
Filed under: Triticum aestivum (bread wheat)
Lineage: Eukaryota; Viridiplantae; Streptophyta; Magnoliopsida; Poales; Poaceae
Description: partial small subunit ribosomal RNA
Rfam family: tRNA (bases 1-78)
About the family: Transfer RNA (tRNA) molecules are approximately 80 nucleotides in length. Their secondary structure includes four short double-helical elements and three loops (D, anti-codon, and T loops).
Source: RNAcentral
AUGGCCGAGUGGUCUAAGGCGCCAGACUCAAGUUCUGGUCCUCUUACGAGGGCGUGGGUUCAAACCCCACUUCUGAUAUUUAAUUUUUAUUCCCUUUAUUCUGCUUUAUUUCACCAUCUCUAUACUUUUUUUUGA